RNAcentral lists this unclassified non-coding RNA (221 nucleotides) under uncultured Botryobasidiaceae. RNAcentral describes it as "sequence contains ITS2". The record is from RNAcentral. Lineage: Eukaryota; Fungi; Basidiomycota; Agaricomycetes; Cantharellales.
UAUCAUCAGAAGCCCAUGCCCUCUGUGGCUGGCGCUCCUGGACUUGGAUGUGCUGCCGGGCAACCCUGCCCGGCUCGUCCGAAAUGCAUUAGCGAGGGAUGUAGGCGCUGCCGGCUCUCUUUGGCGUGAUAAGGUCACCCGUCGAGAGGCCCCCGGUGGUGAGGCCCACGAUCCUUUCGCUUCCAACCGUCCUCGUGGACAACAGCAGACUUUGGUCUGAC